RNAcentral lists this ribosomal RNA (409 nucleotides) under Pseudovibrio sp. 115V. Its description in RNAcentral is "bacterial SSU rRNA". It matches the Rfam family "Bacterial small subunit ribosomal RNA", at positions 157 to 600 of the family's 1533-position model. The record is from RNAcentral. Lineage: Bacteria; Pseudomonadati; Pseudomonadota; Alphaproteobacteria; Hyphomicrobiales; Stappiaceae.
CGACUGCUAAUACCCUAUGAGCCCUAUGGGGGAAAGAUUUAUCGCCAUGAGAUGUGCCCGCGUUAGAUUAGCUAGUUGGUAAGGUAAUGGCUUACCAAGGCGACGAUCUAUAGCUGGUCUGAGAGGAUGAUCAGCCACACUGGGACUGAGACACGGCCCAGACUCCUACGGGAGGCAGCAGUGGGGAAUAUUGGACAAUGGGGGCAACCCUGAUCCAGCCAUGCCGCGUGUGUGAUGACGGCCUUAGGGUUGUAAAGCACUUUCAGCAGUGAAGAUAAUGACAUUAACUGCAGAAGAAGCCCCGGCUAACUUCGUGCCAGCAGCCGCGGUAAUACGAAGGGGGCUAGCGUUGUUCGGAAUCACUGGGCGUAAAGAGUACGUAGGCGGACUGAUAAGUUAGGGGUGAAAU